AGUUCUCUCUCACUCAUCAAUACUACUACAGUUUUAGCCUUGGACAUCCCUGCUAUAAAAAUGGAAAAGUUGGUGAAGGUGAUGACUAAAAAUCCAGAAAUUGCCCGCGGAAAGUUACCAUUUGGUUUUUAUAAAAUGCAGCUCAAAGGUGUGGACUCACCAUAAAGCUAAUUUAAAAAGAAAAUUAGCUUCAAACAAGAGAAACUUUCAAGCCACUGGUGGUGGUCCAUCCACGGAACUAAGCUUGAGCCCGUAUCAAUGUAGUAACAAGUCAACCCUAAUGGAUCUGCAAUGGUUUUGGAAAUAAAAGGAGAUUCCGAUGAGGUGAAAGCAGUAUUUAGACCUGAGGAACCUUCACUGAUUGCUGAAGAGCAAUCUUGCGGACAUUAAAACGUUUGGAAAAGAAUUCAUACAAGAAUUAUAAAAUAAACAAAAAAAGUUUGAGUUAAAAAAGAAAAAGGCUGAUUUGCAAAUGAAACUGGUUUAAGUCAAAAUCGAAUUGACAAAUAAGAGAAUUCAGGAGAUGUGAUAUAAAUCAUUUAG
Long non-coding RNA from Lucilia cuprina (Australian sheep blowfly), 543 nucleotides. RefSeq lists it as uncharacterized. NCBI's taxonomy places the organism in Eukaryota, Metazoa, Arthropoda, Insecta, Diptera, Calliphoridae. The transcript has 3 exons. The record is from RefSeq and is a predicted model, not a curated record.